ACUUGUCUUUUAAAUGGAGACCUGUAUGAAUGGCAUAACGAGGGCUUAGCUGUCUCCUCUUUCAAGUCAAUGAAAUUGAUCUCCCCGUGCAGAAGCGGGGAUACUUACAUAAGACGAGAAGACCCUAUGGAGCUUUAGACACCAAGACAGACCAUGUUAAACAUCCCAAGACAAAGGACCAAACCAAAUGGCCCCUGCCCUAAUGUCUUUGGUUGGGGCGACCGCGGGGAAACACAAAACCCCCACGUGGAACGAGAACACCUCCUCUCACAACCAAGAGCUCCCGCUCUAGUGAACAGAAAUUCUGACCAACUAGAUCCGGCAAAGCCGAUCAACGGACCGAGUUACCCUAGGGAUAACAGCGCAAUCCCCUUUUAGAGGCCAUAUCGACAAGGGGGUUUACGACCUCGAUGUUGGAUCAGGACAUCCUAAUGGUGCAGCCGCUAUUAAGGGUUCGUUUGUUCAACGAUUAAAGUCC
Molecule: ribosomal RNA, 478 nt
Filed under: Lutjanus campechanus (northern red snapper)
Lineage: Eukaryota; Metazoa; Chordata; Actinopteri; Lutjaniformes; Lutjanidae
Description: partial 16S ribosomal RNA
Rfam family: Bacterial large subunit ribosomal RNA
Source: RNAcentral